GACGAACGCUGGCGGUGUGCUUAACACAUGCAAGUCGAACGGUAAGGCCCUUUCGGGGGUACACGAGUGGCGCACGGGUGAGUAACACGUGAGUAACCUGCCCUCAUCUCUGGGAUAACAGUCGGAAACGGUUGCUAAUACUGGAUAUGAGCUUGCAAGGCAUCUUGUGGGUUGGAAAGAUUUUUUUGGUUGGGGAUGGACUCGCGGCCUAUCAGCUUGUUGGUGAGGUAGUGGCUCACCAAGGCUUCGACGGGUAGCCGGCCUGAGAGGGCGACCGGCCACAUUGGGACUGAGAUACGGCCCAAACUCCUACGUGAGGCAGCAGUGGGGAAUAUUGCACAAUGGACGGAAGUCUGAUGCAGCAACGCCGCGUGCGGGAGGACGGCCUUCGGGUUGGAAACCGCUUUCAAUUGUGACGAAGCUUUUUGUGACGGUAGCAGUAGAAGAAGCACCGGCUAACUACGUG
Molecule: ribosomal RNA, 466 nt
Filed under: uncultured bacterium
Lineage: Bacteria
Description: partial 16S ribosomal RNA
Rfam family: Bacterial small subunit ribosomal RNA
Source: RNAcentral